CCUACGGGAGGCAGCAGUAGGGAAUCUUGCGCAGUGGGCGAAAGCCUGACGCAGCCAUGCCGCGUGAAUGAUGAAGGUCUUAGGAUUGUAAAAUUCUUUCACUGGGGACGAUAAUGACGGUACCCGGAGAAGAAGUCCCGGCUAACUUCGUGCCAGCAGCCGCGGUAAU
Molecule: ribosomal RNA, 169 nt
Filed under: uncultured bacterium
Lineage: Bacteria
Description: partial 16S ribosomal RNA
Rfam family: Bacterial small subunit ribosomal RNA
Source: RNAcentral